This 488-nucleotide ribosomal RNA is filed under the name Plectosphaerella sp. HL6-097-27C. RNAcentral describes it as "eukaryotic LSU rRNA". The stretch from base 105 to 258 matches the Rfam family "5.8S ribosomal RNA". Lineage: Eukaryota; Fungi; Ascomycota; Sordariomycetes; Glomerellales; Plectosphaerellaceae. The record is from RNAcentral.
AUACCUGUUGCUUCGGCGGCGCCCGCGAGGGCGCCCGCCNNNNNCAUCAGAAUCUCUGUUUUCGAACCCGACGAUACUUCUGAGUGUUCUUAGCGAACUGUCAAAACUUUUAACAACGGAUCUCUUGGCUCCAGCAUCGAUGAAGAACGCAGCGAAACGCGAUAUGUAAUGUGAAUUGCAGAAUUCAGUGAAUCAUCGAAUCUUUGAACGCACAUGGCGCCUUCCAGUAUCCUGGGAGGCAUGCCUGUCCGAGCGUCGUUUCAACCCUCGAGCCCCCGUGGCCCGGCGUUGGGGAUCUGCCACGGCAGGCCCCUAAAACCAGUGGCGGACCCGCUGGGCCCUCUCCUUUGCGCAGUAGCAUCAGCCUCGCAUCGGGAGCCCUCGGCGUCCUGCCUCUAAACCCCCCACAAGCCCGCUCCGGCGGCACCAAGGUUGACCUCGGAUCAGGUAGGAAUACCCGCUGAACUUAAGCAUAUCAAUAAGCGGAG